CGGGUAUAGUUUAGUGGUAAAACCUCAGCCUUCCAAGCUGAUGAUGCGGGUUCGAUUCCCGCUACCC
RNAcentral lists this transfer RNA (67 nucleotides) under marine eukaryotic metagenome. It matches the Rfam family "tRNA". From Rfam's summary of the family: Transfer RNA (tRNA) molecules are approximately 80 nucleotides in length. Their secondary structure includes four short double-helical elements and three loops (D, anti-codon, and T loops). The record is from RNAcentral.